Molecule: ribosomal RNA, 472 nt
Filed under: uncultured Thiobacillus sp.
Lineage: Bacteria; Pseudomonadati; Pseudomonadota; Betaproteobacteria; Nitrosomonadales; Thiobacillaceae
Description: bacterial SSU rRNA
Rfam family: Bacterial small subunit ribosomal RNA
Source: RNAcentral
UGAAUUGACGGGACCGCACAAGCGGUGGAUGAUGUGGAUUAAUUCGAUGCAACGCGAAAAACCUUACCUACCCUUGACAUGUCCGGAAUCCUGCAGAGAUGCGGGAGUGCCCGAAAGGGAAUCGGAACACAGGGUGCUGCAUGGCUGUCGUCAGCUCGUGUCGUGAGAUGUUGGGUUAAGUCCCGCAACGAGCGCAACCCUUAUCAUUAGUUGCUACGCAAGGGCACUCUAAUGAGACUGCCGGUGACAAACCGGAGGAAGGUGGGGAUGACGUCAAGUCCUCAUGGCCCUUAUGGGUAGGGCUUCACACGUCAUACAAUGGUCGGUACAGAGGGUUGCCAACCCGCGAGGGGGAGCUAAAUCCCACAAAGCCGAUCGUAGUCCGGAUCGCAGUCUGCAACUCGACUGCGUGAAGUCGGAAUCGCUAGUAAUCGUGGAUCAGCAUGUCACGGUGAAUACGUUCCCGGGUCUU